UCGCGACGCUGGCGGUGCGCCUAAUGCAUGCAAGUCGAACGGCGCCUAUUCCGACUUGUCGGAAUAGGGGUAGUGGCAAACGGCUGAGUAACACGUAAGUGACCUACCCCGAGGCGGGGGACAAUCCGGAGAAAUCCGGCCUAAUACCCCGUAAGUUCACCCCGAUACGUCGGGGUGAGGAAAGGUUCUCGCUUCGGCGAGUGCCACCUUGGGACGGGCUUGCGGCCUAUCAGGUAGUUGGCGGGGUAAUAGCCCACCAAGCCUAAGACGGGUACCCGGUGUGAGAGCACGAACGGGCAGAGGGGGACUGAGACACGGCCCCCACUCCUACGGGAGGCAGCAGCAGGGAAUCUUGCGCAAUGGGCGAAAGCCUGACGCAGCGACACCGCGUGGGGGAUGAAUGCCUUAGGGUUGUAAACCCCUUUUCUCGGGGAAGAGUAAGGACGGUACCCGGGGAAUAAGCAUCGGCUAACUACGUGCCAGCAGCCGCGGUAAUACGUAGGAUGCGAGCGUUGUCCGGAUUUACUGGGCGUAAAGGGCGAGUAGGCGGCCCGCUAAGUCUCAUGUGAAAUCUCCCGGCUUAACUGGGAGGGGUCAUGGGAAACUGGCAGGCUUGAGGGCAGUAGAGGAGAGUGGAAUUCCCGGAGUAGCGGUGAAAUGCGUAGAUACCGGGAGGAACACCCGAGGCGAAGGCGACUCUCUGGGCUGCUCCUGACGCUGAGGCGCGAAAGCAUGGGGAGCGAACCGGAUUAGAUACCCGGGUAGUCCAUGCCCUAAACGAUGGAUACUAGACAUAGGGGGUAUCGACCCCUCCUGUGUCGUAGCUAACGCGAUAAGUAUCCCGCCUGGGGAGUACGGCCGCAAGGCU
RNAcentral lists this ribosomal RNA (868 nucleotides) under Chloroflexi bacterium SCGC AAA240-C11. Its description in RNAcentral is "SSU rRNA". It matches the Rfam family "Bacterial small subunit ribosomal RNA", at positions 29 to 895 of the family's 1533-position model. Lineage: Bacteria; Bacillati; Chloroflexota. The record is from RNAcentral.